CCUACGGGUGGCAGCAGUGGGGAAUAUUGCACAAUGGGGGAAACCCUGAUGCAGCGACGCCGCGUGAGUGAAGAAGUAAUUCGUUACGUAAAGCUCUAUCAGCAGGGAAGAAAAUGACGGUACCUGAGUAAGAAGCCCCGGCUAACUACGUGCCAGCAGCCGCGGUAAUACGUAGGGGGCAAGCGUUAUCCGGAUUUACUGGGUGUAAAGGGAGCGUAGACGGUUGGGCAAGUCUGGAGUGAAAGGCGGGGGCUUAACUCCGGAACUGCUUUGGAAACUGUGGAACUAGAGUGCAGGAGAGGUAAGUGGAAUUCCUAGUGUAGCGGUGAAAUGCGUAGAUAUUAGGAGGAACACCAGUGGCGAAGGCGGCUUACUGGACUGUAACUGACGUUGAGGCUCGAAAGCGUGGGGAGCAAACAGGAUUAGAUACCCUAGUAGUC
This 440-nucleotide ribosomal RNA is filed under the name uncultured bacterium. RNAcentral's name for it is "partial 16S ribosomal RNA". It matches the Rfam family "Bacterial small subunit ribosomal RNA", at positions 338 to 795 of the family's 1533-position model. The record is from RNAcentral.